CAGCAGCCGCGGUAAUACCAGCGCCACGAGUGGCAACCGCGUUUAUGGGGCCUAAAGCGUCCGUAGCCGGUUCGGCAAAUCUCUUGUGAAAUCGUCAGGCUCAACCUGACGGCGCGCUUGAGACACUACCGUACUUGAGACCGGGAGGAGUCAGAGGUAUUUCAGGGGGAGCGGUAAAAUGUGAUAAUCCCUGAAGGAUCACCUAUGGCGAAGGCAUCUGACCAGAACGGAUCUGACGGUGAGGGACGAAGGCUAGGGGAGCGAUCCGGAUUAGAUACCCGAGUAGUCCUAGCAGUAAACGCUGCGAGCAAGAUGUUGCGCAUCUUAAGAGGAUGUGCAGUGUCGAAGCGAAGGCAUUAAGCUCGCCGCCUGGGAAGCACGGUCGCAAGACUGAAACUUUAAGGAAUUGGCGGGGGAGCACCACCAGGGGUGCGGCGUGCGGUUUAAUCUAACUCCACGCAGAGAACCUUACUAGAAGCGACGGCAGGAAGAAGGUCAGCUUGAAGAGCUUACCUGACGAGCCGAGAGGUAGUGCAUGG
This 539-nucleotide ribosomal RNA is filed under the name uncultured archaeon. RNAcentral's name for it is "bacterial SSU rRNA". It matches the Rfam family "Archaeal small subunit ribosomal RNA", at positions 459 to 997 of the family's 1478-position model. The record is from RNAcentral.